UGGACCCACCUGAUCCCAUGCCGAACUCAGUAGUGAAAC
This 39-nucleotide ribosomal RNA is filed under the name Pseudoalteromonas porphyrae. The record is from RNAcentral. Lineage: Bacteria; Pseudomonadati; Pseudomonadota; Gammaproteobacteria; Alteromonadales; Pseudoalteromonadaceae.